GCUGUUUCGGGGGGGGCUAGCGGCGGACGGGUGAGUAACACGUACGCCACCUUGCCUCUCACACUGGGAUAACAUAGGGAAACUUAUGCUAAUACCGGAUAGGUUUUUGGAUCGCAUGAUCUGAAAACAAAAUAUGGCUUUUCGCUAUCACUGGGAGAUGGGCCUGCGGCGCAUUAGCUAGUUGGUGGGGUAACGGCCUACCAAGGCGACGAUGCGUAGCCGACCUGAUAGGGUGACCGGCCACACUGGGACUGAUACACGGCCCAUACUCCUACGGGAGGCAGCAGUAGGGAAUUUUCCACAAUGGACGAAAGUCUGAUGGAGCAACGCCGCGUGAACGAUGAAGGUCUUCGGAUUGUAAAGUUCUGUUGUCAGGGACGAACACUUACCGUUCGAACAGGGCGGUGCCUUGACGGUACCUGACGAGAAAGCCGCGG
This 437-nucleotide ribosomal RNA is filed under the name Brevibacillus agri. RNAcentral describes it as "bacterial SSU rRNA". It matches the Rfam family "Bacterial small subunit ribosomal RNA", at positions 75 to 496 of the family's 1533-position model. Lineage: Bacteria; Bacillati; Bacillota; Bacilli; Caryophanales; Paenibacillaceae. The record is from RNAcentral.